RNAcentral lists this ribosomal RNA (465 nucleotides) under uncultured bacterium. Its description in RNAcentral is "partial 16S ribosomal RNA". It matches the Rfam family "Bacterial small subunit ribosomal RNA", at positions 338 to 795 of the family's 1533-position model. The record is from RNAcentral.
CCUACGGGAGACAGCAGUAGGGAAUUUUCGUCAAUGGGCGCAAGCCUGAACGAGCGAUGCCGCGUGAGUGAAGAAGGCCUUCGGGUCGUAAAGCUCUGUUGCGGGGGAAAAAAGGCAGCAUCAGGAAAUGGGUGCUGACUGAUGGUGCCCCGCCAGAAAGUCACGGCUAACUACGUGCCAGCAGCCGCGGUAAUACGUAGGUGGCGAGCGUUAUCCGGAAGGAUUGGGCGUAAAGGGUGCGCAGGCGGUCCUGCAAGUCUGGAGUGAAACGCAUGAGCUCAACUCAUGCAUGGCUGUGGAAACUGGAGGACUGGAGAGCAGGAGAGGGCGGUGGAACUCCAUGUGUAGCGGUAAAAUGCGUAGAUAUAUGGAAGAACACCAGUGGCGAAGGCGGCCGCCUGGCCUGUUGCUGACGCUGAGGCACGAAAGCGUGGGGAGCAAAUAGGAUUAGAUACCCCUGUAGUC